CAGGUGGCUGAAGCCGGCGGCAGUCUGGAAGCCGAAUGUCGCCUUACUCUUGGAGAGCACAGCCUCAGCGCCUACAAGACUCUGCGUGUGCGGGUUCGCAUGAUAUCUUACGUGGACAACUACCACUCUGCAGGCUCGAAGGUGGCUGACUCUGCACUCCUUUGCUACAUGGUGAUCACCUCACUCUUCCUGAUGGUGUAGUGUGUGCAGAGCCUUAGCAGUGUCCUGUGGUGCUGUCACGGUCCCUUCACAACAACGUCGGGGUCAGCAGGUGUUCCCUUUUAGUGGCGGCUGACUGAUCCCGACCACCCAAUGCCUUCCUGUUGGUGGUGCAGUGUCUUUGGAACUCCGAUAGUGACUGGCAGUGUCUGACAACUGUUUCCUCACUAAGGGUGAUGUCCAACGCGGUGGAGUCGACCCUUUUAUGUGGUGCAUAUUGGCGGCAUUACCUCUCCGCCUGGUGCAAGGUGUGGCCACUCACAGAAUUCCGGUCUGUGGUGGAGUGUGCAGUUAGCGUUCUUGUCGUGUUACAUGUGUAGAGUUGGGGCCAAGUAGAGUAAACCACACUCUUCAUCUAUUACCUUAGGAUACAUUAGAAAUAAGAAAACCCUACAAAUAGUACCGGUUAACACAGUUGUAGGAAACUUAGAUUUUGCUGUGAAUUUAUAAGAUACUAUAUGCUACUUGCCUUAUAUGUUUACUAUAAAUGUUGAAGAGCAGAGAUAUUCUAUCUUGUUCAAUAUUAUUUUCUUAUUUCUCUAUAGGACAUACAAUCGCGUACAAAUACACUUAAUCUAUCUGUCGCUCGCGUGCGUGGGCGUCGACGGCCUGAAAAGUGACCACUGGACCGCCACGUGAUGAUCAGUCACGGCGAGCAGGGACCGACCGUGGCUAAGACCACUAUCACCAUCAUUUCGGCGUGCCAAGCAAUAAUGCCGACAGAGAGAAAGGUAAAGAGUGACAAGCCAUGGACGGAAAACCAGAGGUGUUCCUACAACCCAACACCGGGUGGAGAGGGAUACGCACAGCCAGUAUGUGAGAGUGUGGGGGGACGUUCAGAAGUGAGAAAUAAGUAGGGAGGAAAAAUUCUAAUGACAGGGACGCUGAUUGCAGUUUGAGCCCUACUCUCAAGGGACUCCCGAUCCUGAUGAAUGUCUCCGCGCCGCCGUUGUGGUCACCGGCUCAGGGAAACGCCACCCCGUUGCCGAUAGCAUUUGAUUUUAAGCAUGCUCUACUUUUCCACCUGCCAAGUGUAAUAAGAGGGAGUAGAACGUCAAGGUUUAAUGUACUAGUUCCUUCCACUAUUAUACAUUAAAAAUAUCAUUUACUUUGUAUCCCGGACAAGAUCCAUCACCACUUUGGUGCUGAUUGCAUGGCAGAUGGAGGAUGUAGGAUGGUGGAUGGAAAGUAAUAUUAGGCCGUGCUGGAGGAUGAACAGUAAGGGUACGGAAGUCCUUUCCAUGCGUUCGGCAUCGCGCCUUCCGAACAUUUUGCCUCCAUUGUAGUUUUAUAAAGAAUUACGUGGUUGCCUUUCGGCUCAUAAUAUCAUUACCCAGCUGUGUUUGUCAGGGUAUGAUCAAGUUAAUCCGGAACGAAGACUCGCCGGAAUUUUCACGCCUUCGUUUUCAAACUGCACGAAAAUGAUAAAUGGAGAGAGAGAGAGAGAGAGAGAGAGAGAGAGAGAGAGAGAGAGAGAGAGAGAGAGAGAGAGAGAGAGAGAGAGAGAGAGAGAGAGAGAGAGAAAGAGAGAG
This is a long non-coding RNA of Scylla paramamosain (green mud crab), 1751 nucleotides long. RefSeq lists it as uncharacterized. The transcript has 2 exons. Lineage: Eukaryota; Metazoa; Arthropoda; Malacostraca; Decapoda; Portunidae. The record is from RefSeq and is a predicted model, not a curated record.